This 429-nucleotide ribosomal RNA is filed under the name uncultured bacterium. RNAcentral describes it as "bacterial SSU rRNA". It matches the Rfam family "Bacterial small subunit ribosomal RNA", at positions 355 to 776 of the family's 1533-position model. RNAcentral also lists the same sequence under 1 other name. The record is from RNAcentral.
UAGGGAAUCUUCCGCAAUGGACGAAAGUCUGACGGAGCAACGCCGCGUGAGCGAAGAAGGCCUUCGGGUCGUAAAGCUCUGUUGUUAGGGAAGAACAAGUAACGCAGUAACUGGCGUUACCGUGACGGUACCUAACGAGAAAGCCACGGCUAACUACGUGCCAGCAGCCGCGGUAAUACGUAGGUGGCAAGCGUUGUCCGGAAUUAUUGGGCGUAAAGCGCGCGCAGGCGGUUCCUUAAGUCUGAUGUGAAAGCCCACGGCUCAACCGUGGAGGGUCAUUGGAAACUGGGGGACUUGAGUGCAGAAGAGGAGAGCGGAAUUCCACGUGUAGCGGUGAAAUGCGUAGAGAUGUGGAGGAACACCAGUGGCGAAGGCGGCUCUCUGGUCUGUAACUGACGCUGAGGCGCGAAAGCGUGGGGAGCAAACAGG